RNAcentral lists this ribosomal RNA (253 nucleotides) under uncultured bacterium. RNAcentral's name for it is "partial 16S ribosomal RNA". It matches the Rfam family "Bacterial small subunit ribosomal RNA", at positions 524 to 776 of the family's 1533-position model. The record is from RNAcentral.
UACGGGGGGUGCAAGCGUUGUUCGGAAUUAUUGGGCGUAAAGAGCGUGUAGGCGGCUGGAUAAGUCAGAUGUGAAAGCCCUGGGCUUAACCCAGGAAGUGCAUUUGAAACUGUCUGGCUAGAGUAAGGAAGAGGAAAGCGGAAUUCCUGGUGUAGAGGUGAAAUUCGUAGAUAUCAGGAGGAACACCGGUGGCGAAGGCGGCUUUCUGGUCCUAUACUGACGCUGAGACGCGAGAGCGUGGGUAGCAAACAGG